This is a non-coding RNA of Podarcis lilfordi (Lilford's wall lizard), 73 nucleotides long. NCBI's taxonomy places the organism in Eukaryota, Metazoa, Chordata, Lepidosauria, Squamata, Lacertidae. The record is from the annotation of a GenBank genome assembly.
AGCCAGUGUGGUAUAGUGGUUAAAAUGCUGGACUAGGACCUGGAGGACCAGGGUUCAAAUCCCUAUAUGGCCA